This 190-nucleotide small RNA is filed under the name Vibrio hangzhouensis. Its description in RNAcentral is "MicX Vibrio cholerae sRNA". It matches the Rfam family "MicX Vibrio cholerae sRNA". Lineage: Bacteria; Pseudomonadati; Pseudomonadota; Gammaproteobacteria; Vibrionales; Vibrionaceae. The record is from RNAcentral.
AUAAUAACGAUAAGGGUGACCGCAAGGUCACCCGUUUUUUUGUCUUGUUUAACGUUCAUUGGUUUGGCCGCCGACAAGUUAAGCAAGCCAUUCUGGUGUUACGUAUAGCUGGCUGUUACCAGGAUUCCUUACUAUCACGAAUAACAGUUUCUUGUAACCAGAGCCCGGGCAGUCGCCCGGGCUUUUUCUU